Molecule: long non-coding RNA, 310 nt
Organism: Toxotes jaculatrix (banded archerfish)
Lineage: Eukaryota; Metazoa; Chordata; Actinopteri; Toxotidae
Exons: 3
Source: RefSeq, a predicted model, not a curated record
CUUUAGGCAAAUACAAUUGUCAGACAGCUGGCCAGAGUUAUUCGUUUAAUAGUAAAAGAAGAUGUUCUCUUUCUUGCACCAAAUUAAUACAGUUUGUGUCUUCUUUCAGGAAACCCUGUGCACCGGAGACUGCCCUGUUCACAGUACUGGCUGCACGAUUUCAUAAAUCCCAAGCUUGUUCUGCUGCGUCUGUGUGCAUCGUGCCGCAUCAGUACCUGGAGCAGGCAGCUCCAGCUUCGCCCUCCUGAGCUCCGACAUGGACGCCUGUAGCUGCUCAAUCACAAAGUCGUCCUCGAAAAAGAAAUCUUUG